GUAGGUGAACCUGCGGAAGGAUCAUUACAAAUCUUAUGCUUAUCCCGUAAGGGGUAUAGCACAUGUGCCCGGAUCACUGUGCAAACAGUGAUCUGUGACAUUUACGCUUGUUGUGUUUGACAGAGUUUAUUUACACAUUUAAAAUAGACAACUUUUAACAAUGGAUCUCUUGGCUCUUGCAUCGAUGAAGAACGCAGCAUCUGACUGACUAAGAUUCG
Molecule: unclassified non-coding RNA, 218 nt
Filed under: plant metagenome
Description: partial contains small subunit ribosomal RNA, internal transcribed spacer 1, and 5.8S ribosomal RNA
Rfam family: 5.8S ribosomal RNA (bases 150-218)
Source: RNAcentral